CAUCGCUUCAGGGCGGGGUGCAAUUCCCCACCGGUGGUAAGUUCAGCAAUUGAUAAUGACUGAAUCAGCCCACGAGCCUAUCGUUUAACCGCGAUUCGCAGAUUUGGUGAGAAACCAAAGCCGACGGUAUAGUCCGGAUGAAAGAAGACGACG
RNAcentral lists this non-coding RNA (153 nucleotides) under Acinetobacter sp. RNAcentral describes it as "FMN sequence". It matches the Rfam family "FMN riboswitch aptamer (RFN element)". From Rfam's summary of the family: The RFN element is a highly conserved domain that is found frequently in the 5'-untranslated regions of prokaryotic mRNAs that encode for flavin mononucleotide (FMN) biosynthesis and transport proteins. This element is a metabolite-dependent riboswitch that directly binds FMN in the absence of proteins. In Bacillus subtilis, the riboswitch most likely controls gene expression by causing premature transcription termination within the 5' untranslated region of the ribDEAHT operon and precluding access to the ribosome-binding site of ypaA mRNA. Lineage: Bacteria; Pseudomonadati; Pseudomonadota; Gammaproteobacteria; Moraxellales; Moraxellaceae. The record is from RNAcentral.